CCUCUACUUACUGCGGCACUGUGUGUGCUCCUUCUCUUGAGCUGUUCUGAGGUCUCAGGACAUUGGUUUGGAGCUGUCUGGCGGGCUGCUGCUCUAUGGCAUCAGGAAUGGAUCAUUAGCAAACUCAAACUGGAUUUUACUCAACGAGAUUUGACAACCUCAUGCCCAGCGCAAGAAGUAUGAAGUAUCAAGACAGAAACAAAGGCCCUGGAAAUAUUUUCAAUUAAUUUGAUGUGAUGAUGAACUAGUAAAAUAAUUUACAAAGGCC
Molecule: long non-coding RNA, 268 nt
Filed under: Fukomys damarensis (Damara mole-rat)
Lineage: Eukaryota; Metazoa; Chordata; Mammalia; Rodentia; Bathyergidae
Description: lncRNA (ENSFDAG00000023568.1)
Source: RNAcentral